AAGGGAUGAAACUUUGAUCUCUUCUCUCUUUUCCAAUGGUUAUACUGGUGAUGAGAGUUCAUUUUACAAGUCGGAGAAUGAGUAUGCAGGGGGGGAUCUCAGUGAUUUAGAAUUAAUGUCACCGUCUUCCAGGCAUUCUUGGGAUUAUGUCAACAAAUUUGAUAGCCCAUAUUCUGUUUCUUCCAUUAGCCGUAUUUCAUGUUCUCCAGAGUCAUCAGUUUGCCGAGAAGCCAAGAAGCGCCUCUCAGAAAGAUGGUCAUUGAUGGCAUCAAAUGCCAAUUCACAAGAA
Molecule: unclassified non-coding RNA, 289 nt
Filed under: Hevea brasiliensis (rubber tree)
Lineage: Eukaryota; Viridiplantae; Streptophyta; Magnoliopsida; Malpighiales; Euphorbiaceae
Source: RNAcentral